GUCGAGCCUGAUUGUUGGGACAGAGGAACUGAGGAGAUGAGGUUUACAUGGUUUAACUUGAUCUGAUGCGUAUUCACCUUCACUUUCACUUUCUUUCAGGUCACGUAUGCUAUGAGCCAUGUAGCCUACUCAGCUGAUGCGAGUUGUAAACAAAAAUAUCCUCUUCAUGCUCUGAACCGUAAAUUCAAAUCAGUUUAACAGAUUAAGUCUCUCAGGUGACAUAAAGUGGGACAGCUGCUGCUCAAUGGCUUUAAACCCGGAGAAGAUGAUCUGGAUAUUUCUGCUCAUCAGCCUGACCUCCUCUGUCUCUGAACAGUUUCUCUUGAACGUGACCUCUCAUGGAGAGAACAGUGACGUGAUCCUCACCACACCUGAAGCUGUAAAAGAAACACCAGGAGGGCCGGAGGAGGAAGA
Micropterus salmoides (largemouth bass) is the source of this 414-nucleotide long non-coding RNA. RefSeq lists it as uncharacterized. The transcript has 4 exons. Lineage: Eukaryota; Metazoa; Chordata; Actinopteri; Centrarchiformes; Centrarchidae. The record is from RefSeq and is a predicted model, not a curated record.